Molecule: ribosomal RNA, 499 nt
Filed under: Bombus perplexus
Lineage: Eukaryota; Metazoa; Arthropoda; Insecta; Hymenoptera; Apidae
Description: partial 16S ribosomal RNA
Rfam family: Bacterial large subunit ribosomal RNA (bases 376-499)
Source: RNAcentral
GGCUUAAUGAUAUUAAUUUUAAGUCGAUCUGCCCAAUGAUUUAAUUAUUUAAUGGCUGCAGUAUAAUUGACUGUACAAAGGUAGCAUAAUCAAUUGUUUUUUAAUUAAAAACUGGAAUGAAAGAAUUAAUGAGAUAUAUACUGUCUCAUAUAUAUAUUAUUAAUUUAAAUUUUUAGUAAAAAUGCUAAAAUAAAUUUAUGGGACGAUAAGACCCUAUAGAAUUUUAUAUUUAUAUUUAGAUUAUUAUUUAUUUUAAAUAUUAAUAUUUAAUUGGGAGGAUUAGUAAAUUUAUAAAACUUUAUUUUAAAUUUAAACUUUAAUUUAAGAAUUAUUAAUGAUCUUGUAUUAUGAAUUUAAAGAAUAAAUUACCUUAGGGAUAACAGCGUAAUAUCUUUUUAAAGAUCAAAUUGAUAAAGAUGAUUGCGACCUCGAUGUUGAAUUAAGAUAAAUUUUAAAUGAAGAAGUUUAAUAAUUAAGUCUGUUCGACUUUUAAAAUCUU